Long non-coding RNA from Equus asinus (donkey), 4313 nucleotides. NCBI's taxonomy places the organism in Eukaryota, Metazoa, Chordata, Mammalia, Perissodactyla, Equidae. The record is from Ensembl.
GGGAAACACUGUGGUUGACAGCCCUACACAGAGAUCUCGGGGAGGAUGACGAGAGCUUUCUCAAUGGAAAGAGGGAGAAUGAACACUGGGCAAACAAAAACAGAUGGCCACCACAAACCAUCAAGAGCUUUGAAAGAGACGGUGCUAUCUCGGAGCUGCCUCUCUGGUCCUCUGGUCCUGCAGUUGUUGAAUUGUGAUCCCCAGAGAGAGAUGUUGAAGUCCUAACCCUGGUAUUUGUGAGGGUGAUCUUAUUUGGAAACACUGUGGAGUCUUUGUAGAUGCAAUCAAUUGAACAUGAAUUUAUUAAGGCGGGACCUAAUCCAUUAUGACUGGUGUUCUGAUAAGAGAUGUAAAGACAGAGACACACAGGAAGAAUGCCAUGUGAUGACGAAAACAAAGAUUGGAAUGAUACAGCUACAAGCCAAGGAACGCCAAGGACCCAUGGCCACCACUGGAAGCCAGGAAGAGGCAAGGAAGGAUUCUACCCAGAGUCUCAAGGGGAGCGUGGGCCUGCUGAUUUUGGACUCCAAACCCCCAGAACCAUAGAAGAAUAAAUUUCCAUUGUUUUAAGCUGCUCAGUUUGUGGUACUUUGUGAUGGCAGUCCUCGGAAAUGAAUACACGUCCACCUCCUGUUUCUUCUCCUUUCCUCCACCAGCCUCAGACUGUAACUCUCACCAAUACUACAAGACAGCACUUCCCAAAUUUUAAUACACAUACAAAUCAUUUGAGGAUCUCGAUAAACUGUUGAUUCGGAUUCAGUAGUUCUGGAUGAGGCCUGAGAGUCUGCAUUUCUUAGAAGUUCCCGAGUGAUGUCCACGCUGCUGGCCCAAAAACCACACUUGGAGAAGCAAGGCUAUAUAUAAGAGAGUCAGCAAGGAAAUGUUGCUGUCAGGUCGUCCAUGGGCUACAGGUAGAGAAAUCCUGCCUUACUGUCGCUCUUCAUAUUGAACCCUGGAGAAGAAGAAAUGAGCACCACCACUCACGAAUACAGAUUUUAACCAUCUAAAUCUAUCCCAGGACCUUUCAAAGGGUAGUGACGGACUGCAAAUGAGCAUAGCAUCUAAUCAGCAACUGAGACGGCAGAUAAGAACGUCUCUAUAAAGUGUUCCCUGGAUUUUACAGUAAGUCAUUCAAGGACCCGCACAGGAUGCCAAGUUCCAACCUGAUUUGCGUCACUGCAAUUGUGGCUUUGUGCCAAGGCUAGUUAUCAAACAUAUUGAAAAGAUAACCUCACAAAAUGUGGGACGAAAAUAAGACCGCGAGCUUGGUACGACAGAAGCAAAACGCGAGUGGAGGUCAUCUCUAAGUCACUGCGGAAGGACGAUGUCAGAGAUUUGUUCCAACAAGUUUUUGAUGAAAGAAUUUGAUUAGUGGACUAUGGAGCUCUUAAAGUCAAAGAAAACGAAGCCAGGCAAUUCCGGGCUUGGUCGCGAUUCAAAAGCUGUAAAAGCUGCCCUGCUGUGUUUAAAGCGAUGGGACCGGUUUGGCGCGCAGGCCAAGGCUCGGGGAGCAGCGAGGACUCGCGGCGGGGAAAUCCACUGGCAGCGCGCGCGGUGACUCAGCGCUGAGUCAUGCCGGGCGCUACGUGCCGGCCCGGCGCCCGCCCGCCGCGCAGUCAGCUGAGCUCGGCUGCUUCCUGGAAGACCCUCCCCCGGCCCGGAGGGCGGGUCGCCACCUCGAGCCGCCCGGGGCCUCCGCGGUCACACACUGGCCUGCACGCACGGCCUCCUCGCCCCAGCCUGCGGACAUGCAGGACCCAGCGUCCAGGGCAAGAGUCACAUGUGACAGUUGGUUCCAGAGCUUCGGCGGAUGCUUCCGCCCCAUGUGUUUCCUCAAAACUGAGAUUCCAGUUGCUCUGGCCGCUUUCGUGUUUGUUAGGUUUUUAAUUUCUUUCUUUUUUUUUUUUCUUUUUCCUGGCAGGGGAGUAACACGCUGAUCUUUUUAUAGUUUCCAAUAUUUUAAACGAAGUCCAGGAAGAAUGCAUUAAUAAAACAUGUGUUGAAAAUGACGCAUCAAAUGGUCACACUGCUUUGGGGUCUAAGAUUAUUAUAAGGGACUCUCCCCAGUCACGCAGAAAUCCAGUAUAUUAAUGAAGUGAAGGAAGAGUGGCAAGCCCAGCUCUGCAGUUGAGACACAGCCCUGGCACACCUUCUGCUGACAUGUGCCACUCCUGGAAUGCUGGGUCACUCCACCCUCAAACUAACUUCUGGCUGAACUGGGGGUAUCCUGGCUACAGCUGAGGAGAGGCUUCAGUCCGAGUUUUCACACUUGAACUUUUAGUUCAGGAGCAAAAGCCAAAAAAUGCAACCUACCCCAAGCAACAGCCAGGAUGUUGAUGCUGCCAGGCAAUUCCUGGCUCACUGGACCACCACCUCCUACUUUCUGGACCAGGAGGAUACACCAGAGACCAACCUCCCGUGAUUCAGGAGGCCUUGCUGACAAAUCACUGAUCCAGCCAGACUUCUUCCUUUGCUUGAGUUACUACCUGGUAAUGAGUUGUGCACUUUGCAAAGUGUAUUGAUACUUUUACACAAGCAAGAUUGGAAAAAAUACAUGCAACGUUUAUUUUAAAAUGUUGGCCUUGGGAACUAGAAAUGUUUUAGGGGACAUGAGAUUUUAUUUUUAGUACCAUAUCUGUUCUAACAAGCUUAAAACUUCAUACAAUAAGUCGCUCGCUACUGACAUGUGAGUCAUCAUAUUAUCAUCAGAUUUCUAGUGUAGUGGCAUUCUUUUUCUACAAAGAAGUAUUAAAUGCAUAGGACUUAAAAUACUGUAAUAAGGCCCCAGCUGUAUGGGAGAAUAAUUUUUAAUCUAUACGGAAAAGCUGACUAUGACUUGACGUGAAUCAACAGAUUUGUGGUACCCAUUAAUACAAUGUGAUAUAGUAAAGAUGAGAAAAAUCUAAGAAUAUUGAAAGAAUAUGUAGUGAAGGAUCCUGCAGUUAUAAUAAUGAAGCUUGUCUCAAAGCCUUGCUUCUGGAUCUGGCGACAAAAUACUUAAUUAGCAUUUUAUUGCCAUGUAAUCUAUCCAUCUCACUUUAUAUUUAAUUGGGAAAUUUACUUUUAAAACUAAAUUCUUGGGCCGGCCCAAUGGUGCAAUGGUUAAGUUCACACAUUCUGCUUCGGCGGCCCACGGUUCACCGGUUCAGAUCCCAGGUGCAGACAUGGCACCGAUUAACAAGCCAUGCUGUGGUAGGCGUCCCACAUAUAAAGUAGAGGAAGAUGGGCACGGAUGUUAGCUCAGGGCCAGUCUUCCUCAGCAAAAAGAGGAGGGUUGGCAGCAGAUGUUAGCUCAGGGCUGAUCUUCCUCAAAAAAAAAAAAACUAAAUUCUUGUCUUCACUUUCUUUUAGCCUUAUUUUAAAAAUCAAAAGUCACAGAAAAGUUACCUGGUUAAAGUUUACCUAAUAAAUGCUCACUAGAGACAAAUUUGAACAAUCUCCUGACUCCAAACCAAGUAGGCAUUUUAUUUGACCAAUCUGCCUCCAAGGCUGUCAUUUCCAGACAAUUAUGUUUUAUUGCUGUGACAAAUAAAAAUGGCAAGCAAUAGGAUAUAUUGGAGAAUAUGCGGAAGCCAUGUGGUAUAAACCUAAUUCGGCCUGACCUUGUCUUUCCAAAAGGGCCUGACCAAGGCCAUUGGGCAUGCAUUGUAUAUCUGCUUUAGAUAUUCCCUAUGUCAAGAGCAAAGGCCCUUGAGAUAAAGGUGCAACCUCCCUCCCCCUCCCAACGUUGGCGGCUCCUUAAGGAUUAAGCAUCUUUCCUUAGGCUAGAAACUGAUUGCUGCGCUCACCUGUGACCACCCAGCUCGAGACAAUAGACUUGCCUCCUGCUACGCCCACCAAGAUAGCAGACCCACUACCUGGUGUGUCCAUUAAGCACUGUGCCAACAGGGCAAUCUUGUGACUAUUGUGGGAGGGACAUUUCAAUCAUAUGUAAAGCACCCUCUUUGGAGGUAUAUAACCACUCUGUACACCUCAUUUCUUUGGUGCCCUUUCUUCCUUCAGGAAGAAAGGCCCCGGGCCAUGGUCCUCAGAUUUCAGCUCAGAAUAAACUCACCCAAAUUUUCAUUUAUAGAUUGGUUAUGGAUUAUUUUCGUUGACAGCUGCUAUUUUUAAUGCCAUUUCAGAACUUUAAUUUUAUUCUUUCCUCCUCACUUCACUACUCUCACUGAGCCAUCUAUACUGUACCAGAAUUGCACAACAGAGGGUGGAAAAACACACAGAACCUUGGAAAGUGUGAAUAGGUUAAUGGCUAAGUAUCAGCAGAAAUGCUCAUAGGUUUUGGGACUAGUGGAUCAUGAAAGAACAAGAAUCUG